This is a long non-coding RNA of Mercenaria mercenaria, 197 nucleotides long. RefSeq lists it as uncharacterized. The record is from RefSeq and is a predicted model, not a curated record. Lineage: Eukaryota; Metazoa; Mollusca; Bivalvia; Venerida; Veneridae. The transcript is spliced from 2 exons.
UGUGUUUCAGAGGAUAAGUGUGCAGAGUGUGAUCACAUCUGUGACAGAUCGAAAAGCUCAGUGACAUGUUCAUGUAAAGAAAAUUAUAAACUUCAAGAUGACGGGAAAUCAUGUAAAAAAAUCUCAAGAGGGAACCAAAAUAUUCCACAUAUCAGUGUGAUUGUGAUGGCGUUCUUCCUUGGACUCGCGCUUGUGAA